CCUACGGGAGGCAGCAGUGGGGAAUAUUGCACAAUGGGCGAAAGCCUGACGCAGCGACGCCGCGUGAGGGAUGAAGGUCUUCGGAUCGUAAACCUCUGUCAGCAGGGAAGAACGGUCACUGUGCUAAUCAGCAGUGAAUUGACGGUACCUGCAAAGGAAGCACCGGCUAACUCCGUGCCAGCAGCCGCGGUAAUACGGAGGGUGCGAGCGUUAAUCGGAAUUACUGGGCGUAAAGCGCUCGUAGGCGGUAUGUCAAGUCAAGGGUGAAAUCCCCGCGCUCAACGUGGGAAUUGCCUGUGAAACUGGUCAACUGGAGUGUGUGAGAGGAUAGUGGAAUUCCAGGUGUAGGAGUGAAAUGCGUAGAUAUGUGGAGGAACAUCAGUGGCGAAGGCGACUAUCUGGCAAAUAACUGACGCUGAGGAGCGAAAGCGUGGGGAGCAAACAGGAUUAGAUACCCGAGUAGUC
This 465-nucleotide ribosomal RNA is filed under the name uncultured bacterium. Its description in RNAcentral is "partial 16S ribosomal RNA". It matches the Rfam family "Bacterial small subunit ribosomal RNA", at positions 338 to 795 of the family's 1533-position model. The record is from RNAcentral.